AAAAAGUUUAUUUCAUAAGUACAUCAAGAAAAAGAUAAGUACAUCAACAGUACAAGUCUUGACACUGCGUAACACAAGAAACUAAAAUAUUGAACUAAACAUUUCAGAACCAAAAAAUAAUAACGUAAGAAGUUUAUUUCAUAAGUUACAACAAGAAAUUGAUGCAAACAUCUAAAGAACAGUCUUUGCGUUGAGUUAUCCAAUAAACUAAACAGAUUGAACCAAAAUGAUGUUAUUUAAACUGUGAGCUCAUAAGGAUUAUAUAUAGUCUGUUUAAAAUCAAUUUGAAAUAUGUAUUACAAAGUGAUGGAUAAAGAUUAUUUUUUAAUUUUAAGGGCAGGCAGUUCUUAUUUAAUCCAGAAGCCAUUUUGAAUCGCUAAGGACCGCAUGCAAGUAAGUUGUAAGAACAGACAGAAUAUGAAAUACGUUUUGCUUAUCGCUGCUCUGUUGAGUGUCCCUGCCUCGCAAGCAAUGGAAGAGGGCUUCGUAGAAAUAGUUCAAAUUCCAAAAUGGAUGACGAGAAUAUGUGGAAAGCAAGAUCAGACCUGCAAUUUUUAUCCCUGCUGUUUACAUUACACUUGCAUAUACAGUGCAAAAGCUCGACUCAAUAUGUGUACCAGAAAAACCAACAUUGGGUAGACUUAAAAUGAUGCUUUUUUUCCUUGGCGUUUGAAGCAGUGUAGCAUUUCCCUCAAUUAUGAACAUAUUGAUCAAAUCGUUUCUCGUUUUAUUUCAUUUUUAAAUAGAGAGAACAAUCUUUUUUAAAAU
Molecule: long non-coding RNA, 768 nt
Organism: Physella acuta
Lineage: Eukaryota; Metazoa; Mollusca; Gastropoda; Physidae
Source: RefSeq, a predicted model, not a curated record